CCUACGGGAGGCAGCAGUGAGGAAUAUUGGUCAAUGGACGGAAGCCUGAACCAGCCAUGCCGCGUGCAGGAAGACGGCUCUAUGAGUUGUAAACUGCUUUUGUACAAGGGUAAACCUGAAUACGUGUAUUCAGCUGAAAGUACUGUACGAAUAAGGAUCGGCUAACUCCGUGCCAGCAGCCGCGGUAAUACGGAGGAUCCAAGCGUUAUCCGGAUUUAUUGGGUUUAAAGGGUGCGUAGGCGGAUUGAUAAGUUAGAGGUGAAAUGUCCGAGCUUAACUCGGGAACUGCCUCUAAUACUGUUGAUCUAGAGAGUAGAUGCGGUAGGCGGAAUGUAUGGUGUAGCGGUGAAAUGCUUAGAGAUCAUACAGAACACCGAUUGCGAAGGCAGCUUACCAAUCUAUAUCUGACGUUGAGGCACGAAAGCGUGGGGAGCAAACAGGAUUAGAUACCCUGGUAGUC
This 460-nucleotide ribosomal RNA is filed under the name uncultured bacterium. RNAcentral describes it as "partial 16S ribosomal RNA". It matches the Rfam family "Bacterial small subunit ribosomal RNA", at positions 338 to 795 of the family's 1533-position model. The record is from RNAcentral.